RNAcentral lists this ribosomal RNA (496 nucleotides) under uncultured bacterium. Its description in RNAcentral is "partial 16S ribosomal RNA". It matches the Rfam family "Bacterial small subunit ribosomal RNA", at positions 28 to 506 of the family's 1533-position model. The record is from RNAcentral.
GAUGAACGCUGGCGGCGUGCCUAAUACAUGCAAGUCGAGCGAACGGACGAGAAGCUUGCUUCUCUGAUGUUAGCGGCGGACGGGUGAGUAACACGUGGAUAACCUACCUAUAAGACUGGGAUAACUUCGGGAAACCGUAGCUAAUACCGGAUAAUAUUUUGAACCGCAUGGUUCAAAAGUGAAAGACGGUCUUGCUGUCACUUAUAGAUGGAUCCGCGCUGCAUUAGCUAGUUGGUAAGGUAACGGCUUACCAAGGCAACGAUGCAUAGCCGACCUGAGAGGGUGAUCGGCCACACUGGAACUGAGACACGGUCCAGACUCCUACGGGAGGCAGCAGUAGGGAAUCUUCCGCAAUGGGCGAAAGCCUGACGGAGCAACGCCGCGUGAGUGAUGAAGGUCUGCGGAUCGUAAAACUCUGUUAUUAGGGAAGAACAUAUGUGUAAGUAACGGUGCACAUCUUGACGGUACCUAAGCAGAAAGCCACGGCUAACUACGU